GCCAAACCGAACUGGCCGAUCCCCCGGGGCCCGCUGGCCCAGCCACUCGGGGAGGCUUCUGUGGGAAGCCGCCUCCAGGCGAUUCUCGGAGCCUGCUCCGGCCUCCCGCCCCACCUCCGCCCGGGGACUCAGGCCUCCUUCUCACCACUGUCCAGCCUUGGGCUGCUCAGAGGCCAGCUCCCCGGCCAGCCCUUGCCCAUGGACGAUCCAGAAGGCAACAGAGACAGCGUCUGGCCACGGGGAGCCCGGCCUCAGACAGGCAGGGGGGACAGGGGCCCGUGGUGACGGGGCUUUCAAGGAUCACAGCCUGCAGCAGCAGGACCAGGACGCUAUGGACGGUUGAAACGGUUACUCUGAAAGGGGACCUUAAGGUCAAGAUGGACACUUGGAGGCUUCAGAUGCUGAAGCAGUUUCGUUCGGGCCAAGUCAGCUGAAGGAGCACGUGGGCCUAAAUUUAGGCUGAGCCAGGUUCACACGCUCACAGCUCCCCUGUCUGUUAAUGGUACAAUCUGUUCGGACCUUUGGAACAUUCCUCAGCUUUUAUUGAAGAGUCCAAAGGCAUGGCAAGAUGUUAAAACACGCACCACAGUGAACAAGGUCCUGGACCAUGCCAGCUUGUCUGCCAGCCCUGCCUCCCACGAUGAGCGCCCCCACUCAGCUCCACCCUGCGUGCCCUCCUGGCCUUGGGACCCACCCCCACUUCCUCUUCUGGGCACCGUGGGCUCCAGGGACACUUCUAAAUGGUAGAUGGCCUCCCUUACCCUGUGCUUAGAACUUUCUACGUUUCCACUGAAUGAAAGUCUAAGAGAGGUCUCAACUCCUGGCUUGAUCGUAAACGGCCCCUCCUUUUACUGGCCUGACCCCGGGUGGCUGUGAAGACAUCCCUGGAUGUGGCGCCUCCGUCCCUGCUCUGUUCCCCCCUGGCCGAGCCAGACGCCCAGUCCUGGGGCAGCUGCUCUGCUGUCGUGGCCCUUCACUGACCUCUUGGCCCGUCACUGGCGGACCUCCCCGCAGGACUGUGCUCACCACGCUUUAGGCUCCUUCCAAGGGUCUUCCUGUCGUAUGGGGGUCCCCGGUGCCCUCCCGUUUCUGUGAGUUUCAGGCCUAGAGUCGGCUCUGAGCACGGCUGUGGAGAAGGGGCAAGGGCAUGUGUGAGAGGGAGCAUGCAGGCCCCCCCCCCCCCAACCCCGUCCUCAGUCUCUCGAUCUCCUUGCCAUCCGAGGGACUCAGGCUCACAGUGAAGACGGUGCAGAUGGCACACACACCACCUCCCAUGGGAAGACCGGUUCAAAGGCAGUGGUGCCAGAGGUGAGGGCAUACAGGCAGAGGUAGACUGGGGCGGCCAAGGGCAAAGGCAAGGGGGCAGCCGGGUGUAGGCUGUGUGACUGUGAGCAAGUCAGCUAACCUCUCUGUGCCGAGCUUUCUCCUCGUGGAAGCGGGAGAUAAUAGCAUCCCUGGAGGGACUGGCAAGUCCUUGCCCCACUCAGUUAAUGGGGAGUCAAUGAGGAGGCCUGGGUGGUGGAGGUGAAGGCUCAGAUCCAGAGUUAAAAGACAAACCUGAGCCCCGGCAGGGGUGUUAUAUUGUUGUUCUGUCGCUAAGUCAUGUCUGACUCUUUGCAAUCCUACCACCUGCAGCGCGGCAGGCGCCUCUGUCCUCCGUGAUCUCUGGGAGCUUGUUCAAACUCAGGUCCAUCAAGUCGGUGAUGCCACCCAACCAUCUCAUCAUCUGUCAUCCCCUUCGUCUCCUGCCUUCAGUCUUUCCCAGCAUCAGUGUCUUUUCCAAUG
Molecule: long non-coding RNA, 1785 nt
Organism: Bubalus bubalis (water buffalo)
Lineage: Eukaryota; Metazoa; Chordata; Mammalia; Artiodactyla; Bovidae
Exons: 3
Source: RefSeq, a predicted model, not a curated record